GAUGAACGCUGGCGGCGUGCCUACACAUGCAAGUCGAACGGAGAUUACGGACGGAAGUUUUCGGAUGGAAGCCUGUAAUUCUUAGUGGCGGACGGGUGAGUAACGCGUGGGCAACCUGCCCUAUACAGGGGGAUAGCAGCUGGAAACGGCUGGUAAGACCGCAUAAGUCGGUUAAAUCGCAUGAUUUGAUCGGGAAAUGAGCAAUCAGGUAUAGGAUGGGCCCGCGUCCGAUUAGCCAGUUGGCAGGGUAAAAGCCUACCAAAGCGACGAUCGGUAGCCGGACUGAGAGGUCGGACGGCCACAUUGGGACUGAGACACGGCCCAAACUCCUACGGGAGGCAGCAGUGGGGGAUAUUGCACAAUGGAGGAAACUCUGAUGCAGCGACGCCGCGUGAGUGAAGAAGUAUUUCGGUAUGUAAAGCUCUAUCAGCAGGGAAGAUGAUGACGGUACCUGACUAAGAAGCCCCGGCUAACUACGUG
Molecule: ribosomal RNA, 480 nt
Filed under: uncultured bacterium
Lineage: Bacteria
Description: partial 16S ribosomal RNA
Rfam family: Bacterial small subunit ribosomal RNA
Source: RNAcentral